GGGGAAGAGAGGAGGAGGACGGUGAGGGUGGAAAGUCCACGGGUUUGUUUGCUUGCUUUCGGACACGUCAACAGAAGCAGAUUUAAUAAAAGAGGAGGGAGUGUGCGUCUGUGUCGACUCCCGGGAGCUUCUCAUCUCUGUGUCGGCGGCGUCGGGGGAAGCUUUGUUCACCGCCUGGUUGGAACAAGGCAACAUCCGGGAGGCCUCAUUAGUCCGACGCUCAGCCUCGCCGGGGGAGGGGGGGGAACCGUCCCGCGAAACCCGAGGCCGAGCGAACCCCGACAUCACUUCUUCCUCUGAGAGGCAGACGAUUUGCAUCUUGUUGACAUCGACCAGCCGAGCUUCCCUGAGCUUUGUUUGGAUUUCCCAACCUCGCUUUCGCUUUCGGAAGUCACGAAAGGACUCAACUUCGCGAAGAAGCCGGACGGAGGCAAACUACACCGCGCGGCCGUCGCUUGGUUGUUCCCAACUCCCUCAGCCCCGUUCUCUCGCUGAAACACUGACCACGUUUGACAGCUGUUUUAGCUGCAAACAAAACCACACACUGGCUCAGAUGAGGAACAACUGCAGAGUGAAUACUGGGAUAUCGGGCUUGCGGCGGCGGCGCAGUCGGUGCAAACAGCCCCAUUAGAAGAGUUUACCUGUGCGAGAUGUUGAGGAGCUGCAGCUCCGUGACGGCGCCCGCUGAGCAGAACACAUGAAGUUUAAAGAAUGGAAGAACCUCCGUGUGUUGCUGCUCAUCCGCGUAACUCUCCUCCACUUUGACAUCCAGCGACAUCCAACGCACUUAACAAGGCGGCGGUCACUCACGAGGCGGCGGACGACAAAAGCCAGAAGGACGAGGCGAGCAGCAGCAGCCACCUGCUUCCCUUUCUUCUCUUUCUGUCUUCUGGAGCGCCGGAGCUCCGCGUCUCUCCGCCGGCCGAGCGACACGACAAAAGGCCACGUGGAGGGAAAGAGGGAAGCACGGGAUUCCUAUCUGCACGCCCAUUGGGGGUCGGGAGGGGGUCACCUGAUUCAUUUCUGCUUGAGGGCUAUUAAUCUUUUCAAGUACCAGAAUCACUUUGGCUCUCAGCAGAGGAGAUUGAGUUUUCUAUUACAAUCAACCGGAGGCAGCGCGUCGCCGCCCUUUCCUCUCGGUCAGAACGUUCCUCUUUGAUUGUGCCUGUAGUUAGGGCUGGCUCAGGUCAGCCCGGACCAGCCCUUAGUUAAGCUGCUAUAGGCUUAGACUUCUUAGGACACACCGAGCUCCUCUCUCACGCUCUCCUUCUACCAUAAUCCACGUUUUAUUAAUGGACAUGACUAAUUCAGCUUCUUUCCGGGAGUUUUUUUUGUGCUUUCUCCCCUAGCAGGUCCCCGUAGAUCGUGGUUCCUUCUGGACCCUGGUCCUAACAUCUGCCGUGGCCCUGCUGACGCCUGCUGCUGCCAUCAUCAACAUCAUUAUUAUUUUAGAUAUUAAUCAUAUUACUGUACUCAUAAACCAACAUUACCCUCUCCUAAAGUCUCUGUGCUGUCCCUCCCCACAGGCUUCUGUGGAUGGUGGUUCUAUCUGAUGGUGGUUCUAUGUGAUGGUGUUUCUAUCUGAUGGUGUUUCUAUGUGAUGGUGGUUCCAUGAGGUGUUCUACUGGGUUUAGGUCAGGUGAUUGGGAGAGUUGACAUGGCCAAGAACCUUGCCCCUCCUCUACUCGGCUCACCCUCGAACUUGUGCUCCCUGGUCGUUGUGGCGAACGGGUAGAGACGGUGGUUUGAGCCCCGGCUGCCCCAGGUUGAAGAGUCCCUGAGCAAGACACCUGACCCCUAAGUGCUCCCGGGGCAAAAAUGAAAAAAAAAACAUGGGAUGAAAAUGUAAUGUAAGUUGCUUUGGAUAAAAGCGUCAGCUAAAUGACCUGUAAUGUGUGUAUAUAUAUAUAUAUAUAUAUAUAUAUAUAUAUAUAUAUAUAUAUAUAUAUAUACGCAGCCUGCCCUUAUAUGGCAGGUGCUGUUGCUAAUGGGAUAAUUAUCCCAGUGGCCCACAUGAGUCCUCAACACAUUACUCCACUUUCUUAGACCCUUGAGGGUCAAAGUGCACUUUCACUACACCAGUAAAGGGCUGAUUUAUCAAAUCCAAGUGAAAACAGAGCAUAGACAUCACAUUUAUUACCGCCCUUGUAUAAUUUAUCAGCUACAUUCAUUAAGAGCAGCGGGCUCGUCUCUUGAAAAAUGUCCGUCGGCGAGGAGCAUUAAUUGCAGAGGAACCGAGCGAAGUGGCGCUGGGCCGCGGAUCCCCGGUCAGGCUCCCAGACAACUGCGCUAAUGUGGGGGGGGUGGCGGCCACUUUAAAAUGACAAACGGCAGGCGAGCUCGGAGUCACUUAAUGAAUGUGAAACCCCAGCGGGGGAGCAGGAGAGCGCCACCUGGGGGAGCAGUGCAGCCUCCAGACAAGCGCUCCCAAAGGGGUCGCUGCAGGGAGGUCGUCUCUCAGGAGGUGUCGUAGCAACGCCGUCGACCUCAGUAACACAAGUUACAAUGUAAAAAGCCAGCGGCAACAAAUCCAUUUCUCAAUUAAUGAACCCGAGGCCAAUCUGGGGACACACAUUAAACUCUUUAUUAUUGUACCGCAGGGUGGGUGGAUAUCGGUGCAGCCAAUGUAUGGGUGUCACAUGUCAUGUUUCGGCUGUCCUCGGGGGGGGGGGGGGGUCUCUUAUUGCUCAAAAACGAACUGGCUCAGAGGCCUCAUCCAUCUGCCUGACAUGUGACUCCAUGUUUGUUUCUCUCGCCGAGUCGACAGCGCUCAGACGUCCGGGCCCCAGGAAUCAAUCUCCCCCGUCUCCCUUACUUCCCCCAUGAAGCCAGGCUCUGGGAGAGCGCUUACAGCCUUUAUUCGUUGGGAAAAGAAAGCGCCAUGAAAGUAACUCUGAAAGCACCUCGUCUGUCAAUCGCUGCGCUCGGAACAACCCUCCUGUUCGGUUCGGUCGAGCCCAACAUGCAUUUAUCAUGCAGUUUGUUACCACGGCGAUACAGGAGAGAAGUCAGCGGGUCUAGUUCAAACUACUGGAAUUACUUUCAAUAAGUAAAAAACUCAAGCAUGUUCAGUGAGGGAAAAAUAUAUUUGCAGAGGACGUCUCUCCCAGUAGCACGAAAGUCAGAUAACACAUGAGGCAGAAGACGGCAACCACAACAAAAUGAAGUAAGCGGUUGAGAACAUUCAUAGUAUCCUUCUUUAUAGACAAUGAGGUCCUUUAGAUCAAGAUACACAGAGUCAACAGUCGGCGGUCUUUGCGGAUCCACCGCGGCGCCUCUCAGAGGACCACGUCGCUCUCCUCCCGCGUUGCCACGAUGAGCAGCGGGUUUCUGCUCGGCUCCAACAAAGUGCCGCCGACGCUCCCCGACGUUCUCUCUGCUCCGUGGCGGCUGGAGAUCCUCAGCUCCUCCUGCAUCUGCUCCCCCAGCUCCUGGAUCAGCAGGCGGGAGCCCUGUGAGGCAGAGGGGAGGGUGCUCGCGGGCGCCCGGGGGACGGGGGAUGCAGCCAGGGCGGGUGGGGGCUGCGGAGGGUUGUCCUUAGACGUCCCCCCUCCUUCUGCUCCGCCCCCUCCCUCCUUGGAUUCGGUGCAGCUUUGCCCUUCAGCCUCUGAUUCCUCGCUCUCGCCAGACGAGUCACCACUGCUGCUGCUGCUGUGGGAUAUCGGAUCGCAGUCGGAGGCUGCUCCAUCUUCUUCUUCCUCCUCCUCCUCUUCCUCGGCCACGAUAGUUGCCGCCUCCUCGAGCUCCUCCAGAUCCAGCCCCGAAUAUUAUAUC
Molecule: long non-coding RNA, 3774 nt
Organism: Gasterosteus aculeatus aculeatus (three-spined stickleback)
Lineage: Eukaryota; Metazoa; Chordata; Actinopteri; Perciformes; Gasterosteidae
Source: Ensembl